Equus caballus (horse) is the source of this 495-nucleotide non-coding RNA. The record is from RefSeq and is a predicted model, not a curated record. Lineage: Eukaryota; Metazoa; Chordata; Mammalia; Perissodactyla; Equidae.
CAGUCACCACGACUAUCAGAUCCAGAAGGCAUUUGCUAAGCACUGGAUCCUUGUUCUCAAUUGUGAGACCACAAAGCAGAGACGAGCAUGCUGAGGUCCCCUCUGUGGGGCCCGAGGCAAACUGCCUUCCCCUCCUUGUCUCCAACCUUCCUGGUUCCCAAGAGAAAGCCAGUGAACAACUCAGCAGAGAGUCCAUCAUCAGGCCCCAGAUAUCUCCAGAAGCUCCAGCCACUGGUCUGCGUAUGUGCGUACUGACGUCCUGCUGCAGGGGGAGAAAUCUGGCUGGCGGGUCUCACACACUGCAGCUCACAGGCAGCCACGGAAUCCUCUUACAGCUGGCUCCACAUUCUCACACAUCUGAGAGCUCACCUAAACCACACCCAGUGGUCAUGUCUUGGCUGGAUACCACGACAUUCGCCCUCAGAGGAAGAAGAAAAAACGCAGUGCAACUAGAUAACUUCACAUUAUUUUCAUUAAAAUGGACUGAGCCACUAA